GACUUUUUUAAAUGAGAGUUUGUGUGUUGGAAGAAAGGGCAAGUGGUGGUUGAGGAAUUUGGAGCCCUGGUGUUGGUGGUUGCUGGUCUAUGGCUUGUGGACGUUGAGUUUCCUGCUGUUGACGCCACUGUGUGCAGAAGCCAGCACUUAUUUCACUCUUUUUUUGUUUAGACUGAUUUGAACCAUUACUGUCUCCUUCCCUCCUUCUUUCUUACCCCAUCUUACUCUCUUCCUCCUCCAGAUUCUUCUUUUUCUCCCAUGCGUGCCUAAUCUGUUUCCUCCCCAGAGCCUGCUUCCUUCCUCCCACUUGGCUUGGCUCACCUGUCUUAUCACUCGUGGUUGCACAGAGAAGAAGUAAAGUGAGUGAUAUUGUACCUUCAUGGAGUCCUGUCCCUGGACAGGAGGAAAUUAUUGAUUGGUAGGUGCUUUGGGGUGACUGCUUCCUAAGUUUUUGUUUUUAUUUUCCUAGAAAAUUCCCUUGAUUUUCUUGAAUUCUAGACAAGUCUCUACUUUGGGUUUAAAAAAAAAUUUUUUUAAUGUUGUAUUCAUUUUUGAGGCAGAGAGAGAGCAUAAGCAAGGGAGGGGCAGAGAGAGAGGGAGACACAGAAUCCGAAGCAGGCUCCAGGCUCCGAGCUGUCAGCACAGAGCCCGAUGUGGGGCUCGAACUUACGAACCGUGAGAUCAUGACCUGAGCCGAAGUCAGAGGCUCAACCGACUGAGCCACCCAGGUGCCCCACUACUUUGGGUUUUUUAAAUCGCACUAUUUGAAGACCUAAAUUGAUGGGGUACAUUUGGUUAAUUAUUUACAGAAUCCACUAAAAAUUCUUUGAUCCCCCUGGGACUUCCAGAGGGUGUGGACCUUACCACCUGUACCCUGUCUUUCUCUUCCUCACCCCACUUAGACUGCGUGGACCAUCACCACACGUUCACCUCCGUUGGCUCAGCCCCGCUUCCCUGCCACAUGAUCCUUCUAGUGUGAAGUGUUUGAACGUAGCUCAAGACGGACAACCACGCUGCAUGGUUUCCCCUUAGAUGUACGACAUCACGUCGCUCAAGUGUCCCCCGAGAAUGUCCUGCUACACCGCCCUCGUUUACCUUCUUACGCUCCGGUGGCCUGACAUUUCUUACUUUCUCCUCUCUGUUAGUGUUCAGCGACCUUUGUCGCCCUGUCAGCUAACGUCUUCGUUUCUGAUUUUACUGAGAAACAAGGAGUAGGACGAGAACGUCCCCAUUGUCCUGACACCACAUUUGCCAGCAUACUUGUAUCCGUGCCCAUAUGGUGUCUUCGCCUUGCCUGUCCCGUGGACGAGCCACCCCUGUCCUAGCCACUUGUACUCCUGUCUCUUCCGAAGCGCUGAGUUCUUACGGUGAGUGCUCCCCGCGCUCUCGUGGUUCACUUCCCCCCCACCUGUGUGUUCCUGGCAGCGUGUCAUUAGCCCGUAACAUCUCCUUCCUUAAAACAAACAACCGAAGCCUGGUUUUUCCCUGAUGGUCUUCUCUUGCUGCCGUCUACCCCCCGUUUAGAGUGAAGUUCCUCAGAAACGUUGUUCAUCUUCUGUAUUGACUGCUUCUUGUUCUUUCUCAAAGCUCUUUCAGUCAGACUUUGUCCAGAGCUGCUCUUGUCUUGGUCUUCAGUGGUGACCGUGUGGUCAGUGGCCCGGUCCUCCUCCCACCGGACCCCGCUGUUGUCCCCGCCAUCUUUCUGGGGCCACUGCCUUCCCCUGGCCUCCUGUUUCUUUGCUGCUUUGAGGAACAUCAUGCACUCAGCUGUCUUGCCUCACCGGAUGCUCUGCUCAGUCCCCUUUGCCGGACAGGCUUUCUCAUCCCAGUGUCCCAGGCUGCUAGGGACAUGCCUCUCCUGACACGUCUCUUCUCUCUCUGGGAAAUCUGGGCCUUGUGGGCCGUACAGUCUGGCACAGCUACUCAAACCCAGAUGCUGUAGCACAAAAGUAGCCAUUGGCGGGGUGCCCGCGUGGCUCAGUCUGUUGAGCGUCCGACUUCGGCUCUGGUCAUGAUCUCGCGAUUCGUGAGUUCGAGCCUGUGUCUGGCUCUGAGCUGUCAGCACAGCUUCAGAUUCCGCGUCUCCCUCUCUCUCUGCCCCUCCCCUGCUUGUGCACUCUUCCUCCCUCCCUCCCUCCCUCUCUCUCUGUGUCUGUCUCUCUCUCAAAAAUAAUAAACAUUAAAAAAAAAAAAAAAGCAGCCAUUAUCAUCGCCUACAUUUGAGCCAGUGUAGCUGUGUUCCAAGAAAACUAUUUUGGACUGUACUGUUUUAAUUUCAUGCGGUUUUUACGUGUUGAAAUAGUUUUAAUUUUUCUAACCAUUUCAAAAACGUAAAAACCAUUCUUAACUCACAUAUCAUACAAGAGAGGCUGUGUCCUGUUUGGCCACAUUGCUGACAAGCACCCUGUAUCAUGAAGCAAUGUCAUCUGUUCCUUGGUUUUAGUAUACCACACAUAUGCAGGUGAAUGAAAAACUUGUAUCUCCAGCACCAACUACCCACCUUGAGUUUCAGGCUCACACAUUUAGCGAGCCUGUACCACCACUUGGAUAUCUAAUAGGCAUCUCAUGUCUAAAAUAGAGCUCUUGAUUUUUUUCCCUCUCAAGACUACUUCUUUGGCUGCUGAGUGGACUAAACCUCAGUAAAAGUAGAAGGAUAAUGCAGCCAUUCCGGAUUUAGAACCACCGUGUGAUGGAGAGGAUGGAUGAGGACUCGGGGGCCAGACUUGGAUUCAGAUCCCAACUUUCGGCUCCUUGCUAACUGUGUGACCUUGGGAAAGUUACCUGACCCACCUGCCCCCUCUCUUUAAAUAUGAAAAACACUAACUUUAAAGGGAUGUGAGGAUGAGGAAUAAAUGUGCCUGACAUAGGGUGGGCUCAACAGGUCAUUAACAGAAACCAUAGUAAAAAGCUACCUAUGCGUAGAUUGUCAGAUGAAGGAAACAUUUUUUAUAAUCAAUCUAUUUGUAUAACAGAAUAAAGAUAGCUUACCAAACUGGAGUAUAAAUUAGAGCAGCAGAGAAUUCAGAAGGUAUUCAGAUAGGUAGCAAAAUCUGUCAGGUUACAACUUCCAUAGGUAGGGUAAGUCUGUCAACUGGACGUCUUACAAAUCUCUUGCCAGUUUAGCACUAUGUUGAAAAGUGUUACGGAUUGAAUUUUGUCCCCCUCAGAGUCCUAUGUUGAAGUCCUAAGUUCUGGUACCUCAGAAUGUGACCUUAUUUGGAGACAGGCUUUAAAGAGGUGCUCAAGUUCAAAUGAAUUCAUUAGAUAGACUCUAAUCCAACAUGGCUGCUGUCCUCUUACAAUGUGGGAACUUGGAGACAGACAGGCACACGUGGCGAACACAGCCACCUAUAAGCCAAGGGGAGAGGCUUGGGACAGGUUUGCCCUGACAGCCCUCAGGGGGAACCAACCUUGCAGACGCCUUGAUUUUGGACUUCUGGCUUUCAGAACUGGGGGAUGGUACAUUCCUGUUUAAAUUUAUGGUCCUUUGGUACAGCAGCCCUGGUAUAGGGCUCAUAUAGAAGGGAUCAGGAGGAUUUCUGCAGCAGGACAUGAUGCAGGGAUCUCUGCUCACACCCUGCCGUGUUCUCUAAUGCCUCUGAGUCGUGCCCACUUCCCCCUGUCACUGGGAAGGAAGAGGGGGUUCAUGAGUGAGAGCCACAGUUACACCUGGGGCCGCGUUCUGAGAACCCUGGCCUCCCUGGUCUCUAAGCGAUCAGCUGAUCCAGAGCCCGUGAGCCUGUGAAUUAGAGCAGCAUUACCCACAGUGUGUUGUGCAGAUUAGUGAUCCCAGGAGACCCUCUGGGAAAGGGUUUCUGGUCAAAUUCGUUUCAGGAAAUUGUGUUUUUAUAGAGCUGUUUUUGAAAAGCACGAAGUAUCAGAGAAAGCCUCUGAGAAGUUCUCAGAGCCUUGUUUAAUGAAGCAGUUCUCAAACUUAGGUGAUCGCAGAACCUGUAUGCGCAUGUAGUGUGUGUGUAAAACAUUUGUUAACAUCCCUGAGAGCUGGUGUUAUGUGGGAUAUACUCUGAGAAAUGCUGAUAGAUAAAUCUUGGUUAUAUUCGUCAUAUAGCUUUUUUGACUCAGAAUACUUUAUCAGUUAUGGAUAUUUUCACUUUUCUUAUACCUAUUUGGGUCUCAUCCAUGGCAUAAACUUUUUCUCAGUUUUAUUGAAGUGCAAUUGACAUACAAUAAACUGCAUAUAUUUCAAGUGUACAAUUUGGUAAGUUUUGAUGUACGUGUAUACCUAUGAGAUCAUCACCACAAUCAAGGUAAUGUAUGUAUCGCCCCAAAAGGCAUAAUCAUUUUUAAUACAGUGAUCAUGGUAUCACAUAAUCUUUAAAAAAAUUUUUUUUAACAUUUACUCAUUUUUGAGAGAUGGAGAGAGAGAGAGCACAAGCAGGGGAGACGUGGAGAGAGGGGGAGAUACAGAAUCUGAAGCAGGCUCCAGGCUCUGAGCUGUCAGCGUACAGCCCAAUGCGGGGCUCGAACCUACAAACCACGAGAUCAUGACCUGGGCCAAAGUUGGACGCUUAACCGACCGAGCCACCCAGGUGCCCCUCACAUGAUCAUUUUAAGUAGCAUAGACCUAGUCUGUAGCUCUAGGUCCCAAUAAAAUAAACAGUUUAAUAUUGAACCCUCUUAGCCUCCAAAACUGGUUGGCCAUUUGGAAUUGUCCUAUAUAGCAAAGGGUAAUAAAAAGAGAUAUGAAGAAGAAUACUUUUAUUUAUUUAUAUUUAAAUGACUUGGGACCAUCUGUGUCUGUUUCCUUCACUAUAAAAAAGCUGUAUCUCUUUCAUAGAGCUUUUGCAAAGAGUAAAUAAGAUAGCAUGCAUGAAAAUGCACAACAAUGCCUAGCACAUUGUAGGCACUAACUAAACAAUUUUCUUCCUUCCCUUCCUGGUUUCUUAGCCACCACCUUACCUCCUUCCAGUUUGCAUCCAGGUGUCAGACAGAUGGCUGUUGCUCUGGUUUGGAUCCAAGGUUAUUGGGCGUGGAGACAGAGAAAUGAGCCAGAGUAGUGUACAUUGGUCGUUGUGUUAGAGCAUUUUUGCUUGGUGAAGCUCAGGUAUUUGAAUCAUCUUUUUCUAGGUCUGUUUAAAAAAUGUUUUACCAAGGGGCGCCUGGGUGUCUCAGUCGGUUGGGCAUCCGACUCUUGAUUUUGGCUCAGGUCAUGAUCUCAUGGUUUGUGAGUUUGAGCUCAGCUAAGGGCUCCGUGCUGACAAUGCAGAGCCUGCUUGGGAUUCUCCCUCUCCCUCUCUGCCCCUCCCCUGCAAGCGUGCACAUGCCCCCCCCCGCCUCAAAUAAAUGAAUUAAAAAAAAGGUUUUACUAAAAGUUGGUGUUGGUAGAUUGUUGGGUAGCAACGUGUA
Long non-coding RNA from Acinonyx jubatus (cheetah), 5367 nucleotides. RefSeq lists it as uncharacterized. The record is from RefSeq and is a predicted model, not a curated record. The transcript has 2 exons. Lineage: Eukaryota; Metazoa; Chordata; Mammalia; Carnivora; Felidae.